Molecule: ribosomal RNA, 484 nt
Filed under: uncultured bacterium
Lineage: Bacteria
Description: partial 16S ribosomal RNA
Rfam family: Bacterial small subunit ribosomal RNA
Source: RNAcentral
AUUGAACGCUGGCGGCAGGCCUAACACAUGCAAGUCGAGCGGAUGAAGGGAGCUUGCUCCUGGAUUCAGCGGCGGACGGGUGAGUAAUGCCUAGGAAUCUGCCUGGUAGUGGGGGAUAACGUCCGGAAACGGGCGCUAAUACCGCAUACGUCCUGAGGGAGAAAGUGGGGGAUCUUCGGACCUCACGCUAUCAGAUGAGCCUAGGUCGGAUUAGCUAGUUGGUGAGGUAAAGGCCUACCAAGGCGACGAUCCGUAACUGGUCUGAGAGGAUGAUCAGUAAGAGUGGGAAUGAGAGAAGGUGAAGACUCCUACGGGAGGCAGCAGGAGGGAAGAUUGAGGAAUGGGAGAAAGAUUGAAGGAGCAAAGCGGCGGGAGUGAUGAAGGUAUUAGGAUCGUAGAAUUUUGUUAUUAGGGAAGAACAUAUGUGUAAGGAAAUGUGCAAAUCUUGACGGGACCUAAUCAGAAAGCCAGGGCUAGGUAGGUG